CCAAAGCAAAGGUACCUGAAUAAUAAUUAGGGUAUUCCUGAAAGCACGUGUCAACAUGGAGCGGUACAGUGAUUUUUAGAUAAACAAUUUGUGCACAACUGCUGAGAAUGAAUGAAUGAUUGAUUGACACUGACAUUCAAAAUAUAUACUUUGUUCUUUUUGGGACAGAUUUUACUGCAGAUUGGACUGAGACAGUUGAUAAUGUGUUGAAAAGACAUCUGGAUGGACACAGCACUAUCCUACCACACCUUUCUUCAAGCAAGAAGCUUUUACUUUGGAACUGGAUGCAAUUAUAAAGAAGAAACGGACCUUCAUUUGGAAUACUAACAACAUUUUCAUUAUGCCAACUUGAAUGGCAUGGCUUUUGAGGAAACCUAACCCUGAUUGUUUUGAAAGUGUUCACAAGAGUGGUCGAGUUUACUUUUGAGGAAUCUUCUGAAGUCUUUACGGGAACAAAAUCGCAAAAUGGAUCAAGCAAGCGGUGGAGAAGAUCCUAAUAAAGCUAAUAAAAAGAAAGAAAAAGAGGAUGAGAGUAAAAACAAAAAACUGAACGUACACAUAAAAACAUUGGCUGACGACAUGGUAAGGCGUCCUGUUUUCAUUUCUGUGUGUAUUUUGUUUUGCAUCAUCGUCUUUGUGUCAUGGCAGCGCAGGAAGAUGAACUGACAUCUGUGGAUUGAUCAAGGAAACCAGGGUUACGCAGUUCCUUCUGUUAACCAAGUUGGGUUCCUGUAUGAUUGUCUUUUCAGUAUUUGAUGGUUAUAUUAUGUCCCCAAACGAUAACGUCCUUUAAUAUGAAAAAAGUUUAGAUCUAUGUGACGUCAUUGAUUUAAUUUCCUUUAGUCUUUAUUUGUCUUAUUCCAUUUAAUAUGUAUGUGCACUCAUCUAUUCCGCACAAGCAUAACCCCUAAACCCAUAUAGCUAAUACUAAUGACGACUGACUAACAGCGGCUGGUGCGUGGACUUACCCUCUUCUGACUCUGUAACAAAGGUGUGUGCUGCUGGCAGCAUCUCGUUUGAUCUUGUUCUCUCUUCCGUCAUCAGACCUGAAUACAUAUGAGAUGCUCUUGAUUUAACGCUUGCAGUUCGCACUUUUGGAACUAAUCCAUUUGUUCCAUUGCACCAGGCAAAUUAAAUAAUGUACAGCUCAGGUAAAGGUAUGUACAUUACACCUACAUUUCUUCUGUAUUCAUCGGUGUAGCUAGAAUAGCUGAAUACUGUGAGGAGAGAGUAUCUUUCUAAUGUAGGUAUGUUCCUCUGUACUGAAGUUCUACAGACUCUCAUAACAGUCUGUGAUAUUGAACAAACAUAACCCACAGGGUUAAUAGUAAGUGUGAAGGUGAGUCAAAUCUAUGACUCUCGCUGUAGUUUACAGUGCACUGUUUUAUUAUGUACUAUUUUCAUUCAGAUACACAUGAACUGUACAGAUGAAUAAAUCAAGGCC
This 1444-nucleotide long non-coding RNA is filed under the name Salmo trutta (river trout). RNAcentral describes it as "lncRNA (ENSSTUG00000012414.1)". Lineage: Eukaryota; Metazoa; Chordata; Actinopteri; Salmoniformes; Salmonidae. The record is from RNAcentral.